AGAGUUUGAUCCUGGCUCAGGAUGAACGCUAGCGGCAGGCUUAACACAUGCAAGUCGAGGGGUAUAAGUCUUCGGAUUUAGAGACCGGCGCACGGGUGCGUAACGCGUAUGCAAUCUACCUUUCACAGAGGGAUAGCCCAGAGAAAUUUGGAUUAAUACCUCAUAGUAUAUAGAGUUGGCAUCAACAUUAUAUUAGAGUCACAACGGUGAAAGAUGAGCAUGCGUCCCAUUAGCUAGUUGGUAAGGUAACGGCUUACCAAGGCUACGAUGGGUAGGGGUCCUGAGAGGGGGAUCCCCCACACUGGUACUGAGACACGGACCAGACUCCUACGGGAGGCAGCAGUGAGGAAUAUUGGACAAUGGGCGCAAGCCUGAUCCAGGCAUGCCGCGUGCAGGAUGACGGUCUAUGGAUUGUUAACUGCUUUUAUACCGGAAGAAGACGACUCCCUCGUAGGGAGCUUGACGGUACUGUAAGAAUAAGGAUCGGCUAACUCCGUGCCAGCAGCCGCGGUAAUACGGAGGAUCCAAGCGUUAUCCGGAAUCAUUGGGUUUAAAGGGUCCGUAGGCGGUCUUAUAAGUCAGUGGUGAAAUCUCCCCGCUCAACGGGGAAACGGCCAUUGAUACUGUAGGACUUGAAUUAUUAGGAAGUAACUAGAAUAUGUAGUGUAGCGGUGAAAUGCUUAGAGAUUACAUGGAAUACCAAUUGCGAAGGCAGGUUACUACUAAUGGAUUGACGCUGAUGGGCGAAAGCGUGGGUAGCGAACAGGAUUAGAUACCCUGGUAGUCCACGCCGUAAACGAUGGAUACUAGCUGUUGGAAGCAAUUUCAGUGGCUAAGCGAAAGUGAUAAGUAUCCCACCUGGGGAGUACGUUCGCAAGAAUGAAACUCAAAGGAAUUGACGG
This 902-nucleotide ribosomal RNA is filed under the name uncultured bacterium. Its description in RNAcentral is "bacterial SSU rRNA". It matches the Rfam family "Bacterial small subunit ribosomal RNA", at positions 8 to 916 of the family's 1533-position model. The record is from RNAcentral.